This is a long non-coding RNA of Lolium perenne, 2189 nucleotides long. RefSeq lists it as uncharacterized. The record is from RefSeq and is a predicted model, not a curated record. NCBI's taxonomy places the organism in Eukaryota, Viridiplantae, Streptophyta, Magnoliopsida, Poales, Poaceae.
CACAUACAGAUUGAGAAGCUUCUGGAGGGUCAGAAGCGCUCGAACUGCCAAAGAUUUACCUAAUCCUCGGAUGUUCCAUCCAUAUAUUUUCAUUUUGUACGGCGGUCAUCCUAUAAAAUUCAGGUCAUUUGUCUCGGUUUGCCUGAACAGUCCAGUGCCGUGAAGAAUGGGCUUUCAUCCCGUGGGCCCCAAAAAGCCCAACCAACGUGGUAAAGUUUACCCCAUCGCUACAGCGAGCCGCCGCCGCCGCCUCUCCCAUCUCGUCCCCCCGCCACUGCUACCUCCCGGCGGCGCCACCUGCGAUCCAGCGGACUCCCCUGCACAGAGCUCUCCCGCCGCCUGCAAGCUCGCUCUCUGCUGCCGCCUCCAGACCGGAAUCGUCUGCACCCAGGUCGCCGCCGGCGCUUCCAGCCCAAGCACCUCCUCCCGCCGGAUGAGCUUCUCUGCCCCCAAAGGCUCCUGCAGCCCGAGCUCGCCAUCCAGCCACCGACUCUCUCUCCUCCGACACCGGUACCGAGGAGUACGAGCAGGAGUACGACUACUACCCCGAUGAGGACCGUGCCGGUUUCUCUUCUUCUGAUCUCACAGGCGAGCAUUUCUCCCCCUUCACCUAUUUUGGUUUGCCUCUCUCUAUUGCUAUCUUGAGUUGCGUUCUUGUCACGUGUCAUAUUCGCAUGUUACCUGUUGCAAGCCAUACACCUUCCAACUACCCACAGUUGUUGUUUGGUUUAUCGGAUUAGCCUUGCGUGUCGUAGGCUUGCUUAGUACCGUUGUUAUAUUCUUGUUGUGAAAUCGUUAUUGUUCGGGGUUAUAUCUGUUGGGUUGUUCCGAGGUACUUGGUUCUUGGUUAUCUGUUGCAGCAGUUUGGUUAUCUGUUGGAGCAGUUUUGGUUCACCUUAAUUCUUGAUAAUAAUUAAAACUGUUAAGCAGAGGCAUCGGUGGGUCAGCUGUAUGUUGGUUUUAAACAUGGCUCACUUGUUUCCACUAAUUAUCUUAGGAUCUCGAGUUCUUGUUAUCUGAUCCAAGACUGAGCGCACUAACCAUACGUGGGGAAAGUGGGACCCCCUCGACCUAUUACCUGAUCUGCUUUGUCCAUAUGCCACAAUUAGUUUGGGUGUGUUUACUUUUGGUUCUUGCGUGCAUGCCAGCUUGUUACUUCUUUAUUUUUUGGGAAGCCUCGGUGUGCCUCGUAACCCCUUGUUUCUGGUAUGCACGUAUAGGUUUGCGGCCUGCGCGUUUACCGCAUGCUGAAGCGGGUCAUUCGCCCCUGUGUGUGUUUUGACCCUCGGAAGCCGUUCUCGCAAACAGCUAGGUCCGUAUCGGAGAUUCGGCCGGACUUCGUCUCAGGUUAGCUUAGCCAGGUGGCAUUUUGGACUUGGUCUGUGGUGAUGGGAGAGGUAGUGUCGUUUUGCUCCGCCCGGUACAGGUUGAGUUGAACGUGCGUAUGAGACCAGUAGUGCACCCCUGCAGGGUUAUCAUCUUAUCGAUAAGCCGUGUCCGCGGUUAUGGACGACUUGGAGAAGUGUUACUUGGUCAUAGACAACUUACACCUUUAUCUGCUAAUAAUUAAAUUGCGUAGUAAUUAGCAUUACUAAAAUAAUAACCUGUUAAAACUGCCAACUGGGUGUGUGCCUUUGCUGUGUUCUUCCUUGGGUAUAAAAGGGGGUAAGCAUCGGCUGGGUUAUGUUUGCAGAGUAUUAGAAUUGUUAGCUGAACGCUCUCUUAUCUAUCUGAUACCGGAAAGUCGAGAGUUGUCUCUAUAGGUUGUUACUGCUAGUUUGCUGCCGCUAAACUCCACCAUAUAGCCCGGCGAGCACAACCUAGCUCUAGUCUCGCUGAGUACGUGUCUUGGUACUCACGCUCUGCUUUCUCUCUCUUUUUCCGGCAACCGUUGGCCCGAUGUUGUAGGUAUGACAGGUUCUGAGUUUGGUGGUUACUUUGUUGAUCACGCUGAUGAUGACUACAUUGAGUAGUGGGGACGCUCCUAAGGCAGCAGUCUGAGGCUUGUUGGUUAUGGAACCGACUGCUUUAUUUAUGGACUAUUAGUCCUAUUUGCAUCUUGUCUAUACUCGGACCUUUCUUUUAUUCGCUUCCGCUUGAUGUAAUGAUGUAAUGUUGGGACAUGUGUCCUCUGAGUGUCAUUUGGAUCUUGCUCCUUGCUGAGCGUUACUAUAUUAUUUCCUUUCUUA